AAGAUCUCGGCUGCCUGCCUGCCUCUCUCUCCUUCCUCCAUCCUUCGCUCUGCAGCCGCAAGGUACGUGCUUUCAUACCAUUACGAUUCCGAUCAUGCCUUUUCAAAUCUGGGUUGUGUUUGGUUACCGAGAAAAUGCUGAAUAAACGAAGAAAUUAACAAGCUUUGGGAAAAUUACAAUCCGCAUUGUCUUUCUCUUUACUUGGAUUGAAAUGGAGAAUUGGGCAACCCAAUCGAGAAGUGUAUUAUUAAGUGCGAGUUGGAUUUUAUGUUCUCAAUCCUUACAAUCAGAAAAUGAUAUGAGAACAAAUGGGCGCUUUUUUGAGGUUAGGUUGAUGACACUGUCGUAAACCCUUUUCGCUGUUUGGGAUAAGCUUUAGUUAGGGAAAUUCAGAAGCAAAUUUUGUAGCUUUUAUGUAUGAAUAGUUCUUACUGUAGGAAAAGACGGUUUCUUGCUUGAGAUUAAGGGUUUGAUGGCUAUAAAGAGGUGUCAUUGAUCUUAGGAAUGGGUUAGCGGACGUAGCUGAAAAUAUUGUAUAGGUUGUUCUGUGUUUGAAUCAAAGAUUUAUUGCUUUGAGGUGUUAGAGGCUAAGAGGGCAAGUCCAAAGUUAGGUAUGUAAUGGAUGAACUAGGUUCUCGAGAAAGUGAUCUGGAUUUUGACUUGGAAAGUGGUGACACUGAAAGCUCCGAUGAAGAAGUACAUGAAGAGUCAAGUUCAGAUGGUAAGCGUCCCAGGAAAACAAUGGCUAGGGCAAGAAGUGGAUACUUGUAUGUUGAUGGAUCAAUAGCAGCUAGUGAUGGACUAAGCACAAGCAAGAAUGUUUCGAGUAUUGGUGAGAAUAUGGAUAUGUUAGGUAGUAGCACGGGGAAAAUGACAGAAGGAGGAGUGGAGAAUAGAAUGGGAGAUAAACAGAAAAAGAAGAUCCCUAAGAAGCAUCCCAAGCCACCUCGGCCUCCUACAGGGCCAGCAUUACAUGCAGCUGAUAUAGAAUUGGUCAACGAAAUUUCAAAGCGUGCGAGGUUGCGGCGUGCAAGGAGAGAGAGAAUGAAUGCAUUGAAGAGAAUGAAAGCUGAUAAAACCUCGUCUUCAAAGAUCAACUUUUUGGCAAUGGUUGUAACCGCUAUCUUCUUCUUUGUGAUAAUCUUUCAAGGAAUCUUGGGUUCUCGUGCAUGAACUACGUUUUCAUAAAUCCCACAGUACAGACAACCCCGUCUGCGAGUGCAACUCAUAGGCUGGCUCUGUCUUUACAAGGCCGCGUAGUGCAAAGACAAGAAGAGGCAUAUGAAAUCAUCGUAGCUACAUUUCUUUUCCUUAGUCAUGGUCUCUGAGGUGUAACUGGCACUGGUUGUCUACAUUCAAUUCUGUUUUUCACCUACUGCAGUAAAUUGUGGUUGAGCAGAUUCGGCUUUUAUAAAUUUUGUAAAACCUUGUGCACCGAAGUUGCAUUCCACUGUACUAAUUUUAUUGUUGAAAGAAAAUUCAAAGUUUUGUUGCC
Non-coding RNA from Malus domestica (apple), 1495 nucleotides. The record is from RefSeq and is a predicted model, not a curated record. NCBI's taxonomy places the organism in Eukaryota, Viridiplantae, Streptophyta, Magnoliopsida, Rosales, Rosaceae.